AAGGGUUUCGAGAAAAGUUGAAGGUAAGUCAUAUGUUAUCUAGUUUUCAUUUUUUAUUUAGGUUUGGACACUAAAUCUAUCUAGUUUAGAUUUAUAUACGAGUGAAAGUGUUAAUUUAUUCCAAGCGCACUAUCUCUUUUGUCAAAAAUAAGCCACACUUUUGUUUUACAUUAUUACCUAAUUUACUUUCUCCUUGUAUGCAUAGACCAUGUUAUUUGGAUCUAUGCUUAAAAGCUAAGCUCUGUGUCUUGCUUUAUUUUUAAUUAAAGGCAAUAUCCAGUUUCUUAAAUUAUUUGCAAUGCGCUUGAAAAGGGGGAAAAACACUUAUGUGAUCAAAGUUUGU
This 343-nucleotide unclassified non-coding RNA is filed under the name Hevea brasiliensis (rubber tree). The record is from RNAcentral. Lineage: Eukaryota; Viridiplantae; Streptophyta; Magnoliopsida; Malpighiales; Euphorbiaceae.